UUCAGUGAAGCAGUACAGGAAUUUAGUAUGCAAAAGAGUAUGUGUGAUCACUCAGUAUUUUAUAGACAAUCUGAGGCUGGUCUAAUUCUCGUGAUAGUCUGUGUGGAUGACAUUUUCAUUACUAGGAGUAACUCUGCAGGUAUUUCAUCUCUUAGAACCUUCCUCCAAACCUAGUUUCAAACUAAAGAUUUGGGAUUGUUAAAGUAUUUAUUGGGUAUUGAAGUUAUGAGAAGU
RNAcentral lists this unclassified non-coding RNA (234 nucleotides) under Hevea brasiliensis (rubber tree). Lineage: Eukaryota; Viridiplantae; Streptophyta; Magnoliopsida; Malpighiales; Euphorbiaceae. The record is from RNAcentral.